RNAcentral lists this ribosomal RNA (262 nucleotides) under uncultured bacterium. Its description in RNAcentral is "partial 16S ribosomal RNA". It matches the Rfam family "Bacterial small subunit ribosomal RNA", at positions 29 to 289 of the family's 1533-position model. The record is from RNAcentral.
AUUAACGCUAGCGGCAGGCAUAAUACAUGCAAGUUGAACGGCAGCACAGGUAGCAAUACUGGGUGGCGAGCGGCGCACGGGUGCGUAACACGUAUGCAACCUACCCUAUACAGGCGAAUAACCUUUAGAAAUGAGGGCUAAUACGCCGUAGUAUUACAGAUGGGCAUCUAUUUGUAAUUAAAGAUUUAUCGGUAUAGGAUGGGCAUGCGCCCAUUAGUUAGUUGGUAAGGUAGCGGCUUACCAAGACGAUGAUGGGUAGGGG